This 308-nucleotide ribosomal RNA is filed under the name uncultured bacterium. Its description in RNAcentral is "bacterial SSU rRNA". It matches the Rfam family "Bacterial small subunit ribosomal RNA", at positions 30 to 334 of the family's 1533-position model. The record is from RNAcentral.
AUUGAACGCUGGCGGCAUGCUUUACACAUGCAAGUCGAACGGCAGCACAGGGAGCUUGCUCCCGGGUGGCGAGUGGCGCACGGGUGAGUAAUACAUCGGAACGUGUCCUGUUGUGGGGGAUAACUGCUCGAAAGGGUGGCUAAUACCGCAUGAGACCUGAGGGUGAAAGCGGGGGAUCGCAAGACCUCGCGCAAUUGGAGCGGCCGAUAUCGGAUUAGCUAGUUGGUGAGGUAAGGGCUCACCAAGGCGACGAUCCGUAGCUGGUUUGAGAGGACGACCAGCCACACUGGGACUGAGACACGGCCCAG